Molecule: ribosomal RNA, 325 nt
Filed under: Dendarus coarcticollis
Lineage: Eukaryota; Metazoa; Arthropoda; Insecta; Coleoptera; Tenebrionidae
Description: partial 12S ribosomal RNA
Source: RNAcentral
UAGUUAAGUUCUUUAAAAUUAAAAAAUUUGGCGGUAUUUUAGUCUAUUCAGAGGAACCUGUUUCUUAAUUGAUAGUCCACGAUGAUUUUUACCUUUUCUUUAAAUUUAUAUAUCGUCGUUUAUAAAAAUUUCAGGAGAAAUGUUAAUUUUUAGGAUUUUAAAUUAGAAAUUAAUUCAGAUCAAGGUGUAGUUGAUGAAUGGGUUGGAAUGGGUUACAUUAUAUUUAUAUGUGGUUCUUGGAUUUAAAAUCUGAGUUAAAUUGGAUUUGAUAGUAAAUGGUUUAUUUUUGAUAGUUGAUUUAGCUCUAAAAUAUGCACACAUCGCC